Molecule: ribosomal RNA, 2904 nt
Filed under: Escherichia coli 042
Lineage: Bacteria; Pseudomonadati; Pseudomonadota; Gammaproteobacteria; Enterobacterales; Enterobacteriaceae
Description: bacterial LSU rRNA
Rfam family: Bacterial large subunit ribosomal RNA
Source: RNAcentral
GGUUAAGCGACUAAGCGUACACGGUGGAUGCCCUGGCAGUCAGAGGCGAUGAAGGACGUGCUAAUCUGCGAUAAGCGUCGGUAAGGUGAUAUGAACCGUUAUAACCGGCGAUUUCCGAAUGGGGAAACCCAGUGUGUUUCGACACACUAUCAUUAACUGAAUCCAUAGGUUAAUGAGGCGAACCGGGGGAACUGAAACAUCUAAGUACCCCGAGGAAAAGAAAUCAACCGAGAUUCCCCCAGUAGCGGCGAGCGAACGGGGAGGAGCCCAGAGCCUGAAUCAGUGUGUGUGUUAGUGGAAGCGUCUGGAAAGGCGCGCGAUACAGGGUGACAGCCCCGUACACAAAAAUGCACAUACUGUGAGCUCGAUGAGUAGGGCGGGACACGUGGUAUCCUGUCUGAAUAUGGGGGGACCAUCCUCCAAGGCUAAAUACUCCUGACUGACCGAUAGUGAACCAGUACCGUGAGGGAAAGGCGAAAAGAACCCCGGCGAGGGGAGUGAAAAAGAACCUGAAACCGUGUACGUACAAGCAGUGGGAGCACGCUUCGGCGUGUGACUGCGUACCUUUUGUAUAAUGGGUCAGCGACUUAUAUUCUGUAGCAAGGUUAACCGAAUAGGGGAGCCGAAGGGAAACCGAGUCUUAACUGGGCGUUAAGUUGCAGGGUAUAGACCCGAAACCCGGUGAUCUAGCCAUGGGCAGGUUGAAGGUUGGGUAACACUAACUGGAGGACCGAACCGACUAAUGUUGAAAAAUUAGCGGAUGACUUGUGGCUGGGGGUGAAAGGCCAAUCAAACCGGGAGAUAGCUGGUUCUCCCCGAAAGCUAUUUAGGUAGCGCCUCGUGAAUUCAUCUCCGGGGGUAGAGCACUGUUUCGGCAAGGGGGUCAUCCCGACUUACCAACCCGAUGCAAACUGCGAAUACCGGAGAAUGUUAUCACGGGAGACACACGGCGGGUGCUAACGUCCGUCGUGAAGAGGGAAACAACCCAGACCGCCAGCUAAGGUCCCAAAGUCAUGGUUAAGUGGGAAACGAUGUGGGAAGGCCCAGACAGCCAGGAUGUUGGCUUAGAAGCAGCCAUCAUUUAAAGAAAGCGUAAUAGCUCACUGGUCGAGUCGGCCUGCGCGGAAGAUGUAACGGGGCUAAACCAUGCACCGAAGCUGCGGCAGCGACGCUUAUGCGUUGUUGGGUAGGGGAGCGUUCUGUAAGCCUGCGAAGGUGUACUGUGAGGUAUGCUGGAGGUAUCAGAAGUGCGAAUGCUGACAUAAGUAACGAUAAAGCGGGUGAAAAGCCCGCUCGCCGGAAGACCAAGGGUUCCUGUCCAACGUUAAUCGGGGCAGGGUGAGUCGACCCCUAAGGCGAGGCCGAAAGGCGUAGUCGAUGGGAAACAGGUUAAUAUUCCUGUACUUGGUGUUACUGCGAAGGGGGGACGGAGAAGGCUAUGUUGGCCGGGCGACGGUUGUCCCGGUUUAAGCGUGUAGGCUGGUUUUCCAGGCAAAUCCGGAAAAUCAAGGCUGAGGCGUGAUGACGAGGCACUACGGUGCUGAAGCAACAAAUGCCCUGCUUCCAGGAAAAGCCUCUAAGCAUCAGGUAACAUCAAAUCGUACCCCAAACCGACACAGGUGGUCAGGUAGAGAAUACCAAGGCGCUUGAGAGAACUCGGGUGAAGGAACUAGGCAAAAUGGUGCCGUAACUUCGGGAGAAGGCACGCUGAUAUGUAGGUGAAGUCCCUCGCGGAUGGAGCUGAAAUCAGUCGAAGAUACCAGCUGGCUGCAACUGUUUAUUAAAAACACAGCACUGUGCAAACACGAAAGUGGACGUAUACGGUGUGACGCCUGCCCGGUGCCGGAAGGUUAAUUGAUGGGGUCAGCGCAAGCGAAGCUCUUGAUCGAAGCCCCGGUAAACGGCGGCCGUAACUAUAACGGUCCUAAGGUAGCGAAAUUCCUUGUCGGGUAAGUUCCGACCUGCACGAAUGGCGUAAUGAUGGCCAGGCUGUCUCCACCCGAGACUCAGUGAAAUUGAACUCGCUGUGAAGAUGCAGUGUACCCGCGGCAAGACGGAAAGACCCCGUGAACCUUUACUAUAGCUUGACACUGAACAUUGAGCCUUGAUGUGUAGGAUAGGUGGGAGGCUUUGAAGUGUGGACGCCAGUCUGCAUGGAGCCGACCUUGAAAUACCACCCUUUAAUGUUUGAUGUUCUAACGUUGACCCGUAAUCCGGGUUGCGGACAGUGUCUGGUGGGUAGUUUGACUGGGGCGGUCUCCUCCUAAAGAGUAACGGAGGAGCACGAAGGUUGGCUAAUCCUGGUCGGACAUCAGGAGGUUAGUGCAAUGGCAUAAGCCAGCUUGACUGCGAGCGUGACGGCGCGAGCAGGUGCGAAAGCAGGUCAUAGUGAUCCGGUGGUUCUGAAUGGAAGGGCCAUCGCUCAACGGAUAAAAGGUACUCCGGGGAUAACAGGCUGAUACCGCCCAAGAGUUCAUAUCGACGGCGGUGUUUGGCACCUCGAUGUCGGCUCAUCACAUCCUGGGGCUGAAGUAGGUCCCAAGGGUAUGGCUGUUCGCCAUUUAAAGUGGUACGCGAGCUGGGUUUAGAACGUCGUGAGACAGUUCGGUCCCUAUCUGCCGUGGGCGCUGGAGAACUGAGGGGGGCUGCUCCUAGUACGAGAGGACCGGAGUGGACGCAUCACUGGUGUUCGGGUUGUCAUGCCAAUGGCACUGCCCGGUAGCUAAAUGCGGAAGAGAUAAGUGCUGAAAGCAUCUAAGCACGAAACUUGCCCCGAGAUGAGUUCUCCCUGACUCCUUGAGAGUCCUGAAGGAACGUUGAAGACGACGACGUUGAUAGGCCGGGUGUGUAAGCGCAGCGAUGCGUUGAGCUAACCGGUACUAAUGAACCGUGAGGCUUAACCUU